Molecule: ribosomal RNA, 486 nt
Filed under: uncultured bacterium
Lineage: Bacteria
Description: partial 16S ribosomal RNA
Rfam family: Bacterial small subunit ribosomal RNA
Source: RNAcentral
GAUGAACGCUGGCGGCGUGCCUAAUACAUGCAAGUCGAGCGGCAGCACGGUCUUCGGACUGGUGGCGAGCGGCGGACGGCAGAGUAACGCGUAGGAACAUGCCCCAAAGUGAGGAAUGACUGCCCGAAAGGGUGGUUAAUGCCGCCUAUGCUCUUCGGAGUACAGCUUUAUGCGCCUUGGGAGUGGCCUGCGUCCGAUUAGCUAGUUUGUGAGGUAAUAGCUCACCAAGGUAACGAUCGGUAGCUGGUCUGAGAGGAUGAUCAGCCUGACUGGAACUGAGAACGGUCCAGACUCCUACGGGAGGCAGCAGUAGGGAAUCUUCCGCAAUGGACGAAAGUCUGACGGAGCAACGCCGCGUGAGUGAAGAAGGUUUUCGGAUCGUAAAACUCUGUUGUCAGGGAAGAACAAGUACCAUAGUAACUGAUGGUACCUUGACGGUACCUGACCAGAAAGCCACGGCUAACUACGUGCCAGCAGCCGCCGCAG